GCGCGAGUGGUGGAAUUGGCAGACACGCUAGCCUUAGGAGCUAGUGGCCGUAAGGCCGUGGAGGUUCGAGUCCUCUCUCGCGCACCA
Molecule: transfer RNA, 87 nt
Filed under: Candidatus Uhrbacteria bacterium
Lineage: Bacteria; Candidatus Uhriibacteriota
Description: tRNA-Leu
Rfam family: tRNA
About the family: Transfer RNA (tRNA) molecules are approximately 80 nucleotides in length. Their secondary structure includes four short double-helical elements and three loops (D, anti-codon, and T loops).
Source: RNAcentral